This 849-nucleotide ribosomal RNA is filed under the name Clostridium subterminale. RNAcentral describes it as "bacterial SSU rRNA". It matches the Rfam family "Bacterial small subunit ribosomal RNA", at positions 21 to 888 of the family's 1533-position model. The record is from RNAcentral. Lineage: Bacteria; Bacillati; Bacillota; Clostridia; Eubacteriales; Clostridiaceae.
CGCGCACCUACUCGUGCGGUUCGACUGAGACAUUCAUGUCGAGAGAUGAGGUCGUUUGGGGUGAGUGAUAUCGGGGCACGUGCGAGACACGCGGGGACAACCGCCUCCUAUAGAGAGGAUAUCCUUUCGAGAAGGCCGGGAAUCCAAACCUCAUAAACGCUUUGGGUCUCUCGUGAUAAACAUGAACCAAAGUUUUUUCGUUAUUAGAUGGGCCCGCGUCGCAUUAGCUAGUUGGUGAGGUAACGGCCCUCCAAGACGACGAUCAGUAGCCGACCUGAGAGGGUAAUCUCCCACAUCGGAAGUGAGACACCGUCCAGAAUCAUACGGGAGGCAGCAGUGGGGAAUAUUGCCCAAUGGGCGAAAACCUGAAGCAGCAACGCCGCGUGAAGGAAGAAGGCCUUAGGGUAGUAAAGUUCUGUUUUUUGGGACGAAAAUAAAGGUUCCACACGAGGAAGACACCGCGAAAAACUAUGCCCCAGCCGCCGUUAUAAUAGGGGGGGGACGAGUGUUUUGGAAUUUUUGGGGGAAAAGAGAGGGCGGGGGGUGUUUAAUAUGGGUGGGGAAAACCCCAGGUUCACCUCCGUAGUGCCCUUCAAAAAGGGCAUGUAGAGAGCGCGGGAGGGGAAAGGGAAUUUCAGAGUGUAGGGGAAAAGGGUGUAGAUUAUGGAGGAAACCCCAGGGGAAAGGGGGCCUCUGGGGCAUAUAAGAGACUGAGACAUAAAAGAGUGUGGGGCAAACACGAUAAGAUACCCCGGGGGAUCCCGCGCUAAACGAUGAAAACUAGGGGUAUGGGGCCUGCAAUCCUUCGGUGCCGCAGUAACGCAUUAAUAUCCGCCUGGAGACCGAUUG